CCCGUAACUUUUCAGUUUUCACUUCGAUUCUUUGAAGUUCUCAGGCUUAGAACUAGGGUUUCGACUUCCGCGGUGGAAAAUUUUGAAUCACCUCCGGCGAGGUGACGACGACUGCUCCGCGCCUCCACCUGGACCACCUUCAUCCUCCACUAGGGUUCCGACUUCCGCGGCGGAAAAUUUUGAAUCACCUCGGCAAGGCGGCGACGACUGCUCGACACCUCUACCUGGAACACCUUCAUCCUCCACUACUCGGCUACUCCAGUCAUUCAGUCACUCAGACUCAGGCGUACUCGUAAGGCUGUCACUCUCGUCUCUCAGUCUCUCACUCAGGCGUCAGGCGAGGUCCGAGGACACAAGUCACUAGUUUAUGGUGAAUGUACCAUGGAUGAAAAUAUUAUAAUUGCUAAGGUUAUUGUGAAAGUGGGGCUUCUAAUUCAAAUGCAAAAAUCAAAGUCAAACUAUUGAGUCUAAAGUAAAUAAAGGAAGGAAAAAAAGAUCUCGUGAGUGGGAUUUGACUCGUAAAACUGAUAUUGAUGGAAGUGAAAAGGUUGUUUGUAACUAUUGUAACAAAGAGUAUUUUGCUGACACAAAAGAACAUGGUACAACGUCAAUGCUUACUCAUAUAAAAAAUGCACAAAGAUGCCUUAUAAUAUUGAUAUUAAACAAUUAAGAUUAGCAUUUCAACCAAUGAUAUGGGGUAACAAUGGUGAUGUAGUUGUUGUUCCAUGGAAAUUUGAUCAGGAAGAGUGUAGAAAAGCCUUGUGUUGUAUGGUAAUUAUUGAUGUGCUUCAUUUCAGAUUUGUUGAAAAAGAAGAUUUUAAACAAUUUAUGAAAGUAGCACAACCUUGUUUCCACAUUCCUUCCCGUAACAUUGUGACUCAUGAUUGUUUUGAUCUUUUUGAUGAAGAAAAAAGUAAGUUGAUGGUUGUUUUUAAGGAAACACAACAAAGGGUGUCUUUAACCACUGAUACUUGGACUUCCAUACAAAGAAUCAAUUAUAUGGUCAUUACUGCUCAUUGGAUUCAUAAAAAUUUGACUUUGCAUAAAAGAAUUAUCAACUUUUGUCCAAUCACUAGUCAUAGAGGUGAAGAUCUUCGAAAGUCUAUUAGUAAGUGCUUACAUGAGUAGGGAUUGCAUCAAAUUUUCACUGUAACAGUUGAUAAUGCUGGUUCAAAUAGUGUGGUAAUAACUGAGUUGUCUAUGCAAUUAACUAAAUGGGGAACCAACUUAAUGGGUGGUAGUCACCUUCAUAUAAGGUGUAUGGCUCAUAUUGUAAAUCUUAUUGUUCAAGAUGGUACAAAAGAAGCAAAUGUUCUAUUGAACGAGUUAGGCAAGCAUGGAGAUACAUCAGGCAAUCUCCUGCUAGGUGAAAAAAAUUUCAAGAAUGUUGUGAAGAUGAAAAUCUUGCGAAAAAGUCUUUAUGCUUGAAUGUUCCUACAAGGUGUAAUUCCACCUACAUGAUGUUGAGCAGGGUAAUUGAAUAUGAAGGAGAAAUUGUAGAGUACGCCGAUCGUUAUAUUGACUUGGCACUAUAUCUUAAGUUUGUUGAUAUAAAUUCUACCGGUACACUUUUGAGCAGUGAUUGGGAGGGCGUAAAAAGAAUUACAAAAUUUCUUGAAAUAUUUUUUAAUCUUACUUUAAAGAUAUCUGGUUCGCGAUAUGUUACAUCAAAUCUUUAUUUUCUUGAAAUUUGUCAAGUUGGUGUUUACUUGAAUCAAUUGAUAUCAAAUGAAGAUCAAGUUUUGGCUAAAAUGGCAGAAAAUAUGAAGGAGAAAUUUGACAAAUAUUGGGGUGAUGCUUCAAAAAUGUUUAAGAUGGUUUUCAUACCAUGUGUUUUGGAUCCUCGUCACAAAUUUAGUACUCUUGGAUUUGCACUUAAGAAGAUGUUUGGAGAAAAAGGGGCUGCUAUAGAAAAUGGUGUGCAAACGUACAUGGAAGCUUUGUUUAAUGAGUAUACACACCCCAUUUCAAAUGAUAAAAGUGGUCAAUUUUCUUCAACUGGUGUGGAUACUUCUAUUUCAAGUUUUGUAGGAGAAUUUGGAAAUUUUUUUGAGGAAUUACAUAAACAUAAAUCUGAAAAGGGAGGUGCAAGUUCAAAGUCAGAAUUAGUUAAAUAUCUUGAUGAAGAAACUGAAAUUGAAAAAUCAGAUUUUGAUGUAUUGAUUUGGUGGAUAGUUAACUCACCUAUAUUUUCAUUUCUUUCUGAGAUGGCUCGAUAUGUGUUGGCUAUUCCCGUUUCAAGUGUGGCGUCUGAAUGUGCUUUUAGUACUGAAGGGCACAUACUUGAUUUAUUUAGGAGUUCAUUAACUCCUAGAUUUGUACAAGCUCUAGUGUGCCUUCAAGAUUGGCUUCGGAGUGAGCCAUUAUCCAUAAGUAUUGAGGAAGAUUUAGAUUUUCUUGAGCAACUUGAAGAAGAUUUUGCUAAACUUGGAAAAGAACUUUGCAUUGAUGACAUGUAAAAUUGGAGGAAGGAAGAUUUCAUCAUGCAUCGAUCACUUGUUAGGAAUCACUAUGAAUAACUUGAAGAAAAUGAAGAUGGAUCGUGGAAGAAAUGAGGAAGAUAUGAAGUUUUAAUGUGGCUUCGCUGUACAGUGAUUGGAAGUUGUUGGUUGCACGUCGUUUGAGGUAAAUUUCAUGAUAAACUAGACUGUUGUAAUCUUUUUUGAGUUCUAAUUUUUUCUUUCCUGCCUUGGUCAUAUCUUGCUAAUUUUAGCUUACUUUUGGUGAUUCAAAGUCUCAUGUGUUGGUAUUGAUCGUGUUUACAUUGUAGAGUAUUCAAGGAUUGUUAGGCACCUUUCGAUUCUCAUAAAUUCCAAGUGAUAGCGUUCAAAGGUCAUUCGGGAAGGAAAAGCUCCGGCUAAGUGACUUGGAGAGCGCGUACUCGUCCUUAAGGUUGCAGUACCAAUUACCAGAGGUGAUUAGCUUCAGCCUUCUUUUGCAACUGUGAUUCAUAGACGAGGGAAGAAUAUCUCAACUAUAAAUAAAGAUGGUAUUCAUUUGGUGUAGGAAGAAGGAAAAAUAUAGUGAGGAAAAAAUUAGUCAAAAACGAGAGUUCUUAUUAGUUGAAGGGAAGUGUUCUAUUUGUGCAGCUUACUCAACUUUUGUCCUGAGUUGUUGAGUUAUACUUUGUGUUAACACUGUUGUAUCCUCGAAGGGACAUGUUAAGAAGGACUGCUGCUGGACCGGUGAAAAACAAUUGUUGUAGUGGGAUUAAAUCUCCUUAAAGAGACAAAUAUUUGUGUCUUAGCCCGAAGAGAUUUUAUUUAUUCAUUUCAUUUUUAAAAGUAAUAUUGUUUUUUUUUGCUAUUUUGUACUUUGCUAAAAAUAUUUAAGGAGAUUCUUAGUGGCUACAACUGAAAAAAUCUUGGAUGUCAAGAUGGGAGACCUUAACAAGUCAUUUCGGUCAAACGGUAACCAUUUCAAGAGAUGAAUGGGUAAAGUAUUUUUCUA
Solanum lycopersicum (tomato) is the source of this 3450-nucleotide non-coding RNA. The record is from RefSeq and is a predicted model, not a curated record. NCBI's taxonomy places the organism in Eukaryota, Viridiplantae, Streptophyta, Magnoliopsida, Solanales, Solanaceae.